RNAcentral lists this ribosomal RNA (445 nucleotides) under uncultured bacterium. RNAcentral describes it as "partial 16S ribosomal RNA". It matches the Rfam family "Bacterial small subunit ribosomal RNA", at positions 354 to 796 of the family's 1533-position model. The record is from RNAcentral.
GUGAGGAAUAUUGGACAAUGGAUGGAAAUCUGAUCCAGCCAUGCCGCGUGCAGGAAGACGGCCCUAUGGGUUGUAAACUGCUUUUAUACGGGAGCAAUAAGGUCUAUGCAUAGAUUGAUGAGAGUACCGUAUGAAUAAGCAUCGGCUAACUCCGUGCCAGCAGCCGCGGUAAUACGGAGGAUGCGAGCGUUAUCCGGAUUUAUUGGGUUUAAAGGGUGCGUAGGCGGCUUUGUAAGUCAGCGGUGAAAGUUUGCAGCUUAACUGUAAAAGCGCCGUUGAUACUGUGAAGCUAGGAUUUGGUUGCUGUGGGCGGAAUGUGUGGUGUAGCGGUGAAAUGCAUAGAGAUCACACAGAAUAUCGAUUGCGAAGGCAGCUCACAAAGCCAAUAUUGACGCUGAGGCACGAAAGUGUGGGGAUCAAACAGGAUUAGAUACCCGUGUAGUCC